CUAACCCGGAAGGCAGAGGUUGCAGUGAGCAGGGAUCCCGCCACUGCACUCCAGUCUGGACGACACAGUGAGACUCCAUCUCAAAAAAAAAAAAAAAAAAAAAAAUCACCGGGCAUGGUGGCUCAUGCCUGUAAUCUCAGCACUUUUGGAGGCUGAGGUGGGAGGAUUGCUUGAAACCUGGAGUUUCAAACCAGCCUGGGCGACAUAGGGGACACCAUCUCUACAAAACAUUUUUAAAAGUUAGCCGGGCAUGGUGGCACAUGCCUGUAGUUCCAGCUACUUAGGAGGCUGAGGUGGGAGGGUCACUUGAGCCUGGGAGUUCAAGACUGCAGUGAGCCGUGAUUGUGCCACUGUACUCAAGCCUGGGUGAAAUAGUGAGACUCUAUCUCAAAAAAUAAACAUAAAUAAAUAAACAUAAAUAAAUAUACACAUUUUUAUACAUACAUAUUAUAUGUAAUAUACCCAGGCUAGAGUGCAGUGGCAUGAUUACAGCUCACUGCAACCUCAAGCUCCUGAGCUCCAACGAUCCUCCCUCCUCAGCCUCUUGAGUAGCUAAGACUGCUGGUGCGGGUCACCAAGCCCGACUAAUUUUUUUUUUUUUUUUUUGAGACCGUCUCACUAUGUUUCCCAGGCUGGUCUCUAACUCCUGGUCUCAAGUGAUUCUCCCACCUCCCGAGGAGGUGCAUCAGUCUCCCAAGUAGCUGGGAUUACAAGGACAAGCCACUGCACCUGGUUGUAAUAUAAACUUGUAUGAGAUUGCUCUGUCACUGCCUGCUGGCCACCCCAGUGUCCCCACUCGACCAUGGAUUCCUUGUGGACUAGGGUGACAUCACAGUCAUUUCUGUAUCUCCAGUAGCCAAACCAACCUGUAAACGGUAGACAAUCAACAAAAAAAAUGUUGAAUGAAUGUAUGGAUUAAUAAUACUAUUAAUAAUGCCACCUAGUACAUUAAGUGGGAGGGAGGUAGUAUUCACGGGAAGGGAGGUAGCAUUCCAGAGAAUGCCCUGGGUACCCCUUGUAGACCUCACCCCCUCCCUGCAGGAGAGGACGUUAGCCAAGCAGCAUCCCAGCUCCCAAUCCUCCUGCGAGCCAUCAGUCAGGAACAGCUUCACCCUCUUAGAGGUGAUGCUGGUGCUACUGGCCAAGGAUCACAUUUGGAGAACCACAGAAGUAUUCUCCAGACCCACAGGCCACCCCGAAGCUCAGAGGCUAUAAGUCUGUCUGAUCUCUGCAUCCUCCACCUCCCCAGUCCCCAUGGAGAGUUGAGAGGAACUCCUGCUCUGGCCAAAAUGGAGCUGAUGGUUUACACAGAAACAUCCAGGAGUAUGUGCAUUUCAGAAAAUAAGGGCAACCUGAGAAAUUCCCUUGCCCCAAACACACAAACCACCCAAACCAGAAACAGUGUUCAUCCUCCACUCGUCUCUAGAGUGUCCACUUCAGGAGCGCAGGGGCUGGGCCUGGGCCAGGAUCUCCAGCCCCUGCAACUGUGGGAACCCUCCAGGCCAAGUUCAGAUGCUCCCUCCUCCAUGAGGCCUGCGGUGGCUCCCACUUCUCAGGAUGCACUGAUGGCUCCCUCCUGGGUAUGGGUCCCAAUAUCCCUGCUGUAAGCACUCGUGUGUGUACGGAAAUCUUGUGCCACCUCCUACUGGGUGCUCUCUUAAGGCAAGGGCCACUUCUUCAUGUCCCACAGAAUCCAGCACAAAAUAGAUGCUCUGAGAGUUUCACUUUAGAAGUCCAAUCAAGGAUCAAAUAAACUUUAAAGACUUCUUUUGGGGAGCCAGGCACAGUGUGGCUCAUGCCUGUAAUCCUAGCACUUUGGGAGACUGAGCUGGGCUUGAGCCCAGGAGUUCAAGACCAGCCUGGGCAACAUUGUGUCUCUACAAAAAAUACAAAACUUAAAGCUGGGUCCGGUGGCUCACGCCUGUAAUCUCAGCACUUUGGGAGGCUGAGGCGGGCAGAUCACGAAGUCAG
This 1971-nucleotide long non-coding RNA is filed under the name Homo sapiens (human). RNAcentral describes it as "HSALNT0155725". The stretch from base 244 to 391 matches the Rfam family "Metazoan signal recognition particle RNA". The record is from RNAcentral. Lineage: Eukaryota; Metazoa; Chordata; Mammalia; Primates; Hominidae.